CCCGCCUUGCCUUAGCUCCCUUGCGUGCUUCGUUAUUUAUAGAGCGCCUGGGGAGGGACUUGGGAGCUGUAAUGUGCACAUCUCAUUCUCAAGUCGAGUCAAGUCAAGGAAUUCAACACAGAAAAAUAAAGAAGAUCCAUCCAUGAGUUUGGGCUCUAAGGCCACCCAAGUUUUGGAAGGGGUGAAGAGAUAGACAAAUGUAGAUAUGCCUACAUCUCCACACUCCCGUUGUCGUCGUUCGUCUGCUUGUUGAUUGGACGUGGUGUGGCGAGGAGAGGAGUAAUAAAAUAAUAAUGUAUAUUUUUUUUUAUCAUAAACGUUUUUUGGUAAACUAAACUUUCCAAAACCGAAAACCAUUUCCAAAUAAAUGAUAUUUAAAUCGGUUAUUUAUUUA
This is a long non-coding RNA of Cucumis sativus (cucumber), 394 nucleotides long. RefSeq lists it as uncharacterized. The record is from RefSeq and is a predicted model, not a curated record. The transcript has 2 exons. Lineage: Eukaryota; Viridiplantae; Streptophyta; Magnoliopsida; Cucurbitales; Cucurbitaceae.